UGGCUUGCAGCUCUAAGGCAGAGUUUCCGGCUUUUAACCGGAAGGUCAGGGUUCGAUUCCCUGCGGGCCGA
Molecule: transfer RNA, 71 nt
Filed under: Chitinophagaceae bacterium
Lineage: Bacteria; Pseudomonadati; Bacteroidota; Chitinophagia; Chitinophagales; Chitinophagaceae
Description: tRNA-Lys
Rfam family: tRNA
About the family: Transfer RNA (tRNA) molecules are approximately 80 nucleotides in length. Their secondary structure includes four short double-helical elements and three loops (D, anti-codon, and T loops). Further hydrogen bonds mediate the characteristic L-shaped molecular structure. tRNAs have two regions of fundamental functional importance: the anti-codon, which is responsible for specific mRNA codon recognition, and the 3' end, to which the tRNAs corresponding amino acid is attached (by aminoacyl-tRNA synthetases). tRNAs cope with the degeneracy of the genetic code in two manners: having more than one tRNA (with a specific anti-codon) for a particular amino acid; and 'wobble' base-pairing, i.e. permitting non-standard base-pairing at the 3rd anti-codon position.
Source: RNAcentral